Molecule: non-coding RNA, 81 nt
Organism: Pseudozyma hubeiensis SY62
Lineage: Eukaryota; Fungi; Basidiomycota; Ustilaginomycetes; Ustilaginales; Ustilaginaceae
Source: the annotation of a RefSeq genome assembly
GCUUCCUUAGCUCAGUGGGAGAGCGCGCCACUCGUAUAGCGCGACAUGGUGAGGUCACUAGUUCAAUCCUGGUAGGAAGCA